Molecule: ribosomal RNA, 497 nt
Filed under: uncultured bacterium
Lineage: Bacteria
Description: partial 16S ribosomal RNA
Rfam family: Bacterial small subunit ribosomal RNA
Source: RNAcentral
GACGAACGCUGGCGGCGUGCCUAAUACAUGCAAGUAGAACGCUGAAGAGAGGAGCUUGCUCUUCUUGGAUGAGUUGCGAACGGGUGAGUAACGCGUAGGUAACCUGCCUUGUAGCGGGGGAUAACUAUUGGAAACGAUAGCUAAUACCGCAUAACAAUGGAUGACACAUGUCAUUUAUUUGAAAGGGGCAAUUGCUCCACUACAAGAUGGACCUGCGUUGUAUUAGCUAGUAGGUGAGGUAAUGGCUCACCUAGGCGACGAUACAUAGCCGACCUGAGAGGGUGAUCGGCCACACUGGGACUGAGACACGGCCCAGACUCCUACGGGAGGCAGCAGUAGGGAAUCUUCGGCAAUGGGGGCAACCCUGACCGAGCAACGCCGCGUGAGUGAAGAAGGGUUUCGGAUCGUAAAGCUCUGUUGUAAGUCAAGAACGGGUGUGAGAGUGGAAAGUUCACACUGUGACGGUAGCUGACCAGAAAAGGACGGCUAACUACGUG